This is a non-coding RNA of Podarcis lilfordi (Lilford's wall lizard), 2564 nucleotides long. The record is from the annotation of a GenBank genome assembly. Lineage: Eukaryota; Metazoa; Chordata; Lepidosauria; Squamata; Lacertidae.
GUUGGUCCUGCUAGCUAAGGAUGAUGGGAACUGUAGUCUAAAAACAACUGGAGACCCAAGUUUGGUAAACCCUGCACUAGGGUAUUAAUCUCUUCAUGCAUUAAUUAGACUUGAGCAUGUUUGUUAUAUGAGGCUGGUUAUCCCACACUACUGAGACAUAUGUAUCAGUUUAAACAUAAAUAUGCUAAGAAAAUGUUUAUAUAGCUCAUUUAAACAGACAUACUGUAUAAUGAGUGUCACCAUAGUGGGUGGGGGGAGACUAUGACCAGGUGACCUGCUCAGUUUGUUGCUCUGUCUUUUUUUCUAGCUGGACUGGAACUAGAGUUAAUGGGGUUGUUUUACUAGCCUGUGGAUUACUAAUGAAUGGGAUGGGUUUUACAUUUAUUUUUUGCAAUGAAGUUCAUUUUAUGAUGUUAUUUUUCAUUGCUGUAUGUUUCUUUGUCAUAGAACUGUUUAAAAUGAGAACAAACAAAUUCCUCAGGCUUACAUUUAAUCCCCACAGGGAAUUUAAUACAAGGUGUUGUAUGUUUUCUUUUCCUUCAUGGGAAGGAGCAAUCUAGAUUCUGAGUGGAGAAGUGGCUGGCAGGAAGAAAGUUGACCCCCCAUUCUUUACCUGUCAUACUUCCACUCCCAAUUUCAGUGCCUAGUUCUUUGCUAAUAAACCCCUCAAACACCAAGGGAAAGUUACACAGAAUUCCAGGUAAAUUAUAGUUUGGCCCUAAAUAGAGUGUUUUAACUCAGGCUAACUCUAGAAAAUCAUGAGCCCAACCCUGUGGGAAGAGAUGAGUUGGAUGUUUUAUUCCAUUGAUCUGAUGAGUUAUUUUCCAGAAAGAGCUCUGAGCUCUUAAACAUAUGGACUUCUUGUUAGGAUCACUUGACACCUCCUGGUCUUUCCUCCUUGGGCGUAAACAGUUCUAAAUGACCUGUCAUUUUGCAAAAUCUCAUGUACCACAGCAAAUGCAAACACUUUACAUUUAUGGAAGGUUUCAGCUACAAUAAUAUUUACCUUUUACAUUUUGUUCUAUCUAUAAAUCCUUUUUACGGCAGGUUUUAAAAAAUAAGUAAAUGUUAUAUGACAUUUUUAUUACCUAUUUAUUUAAUAUCUCAAAUUAAAUGUCCUACUGCUGCAAUUUGGAGGUUAUGAAAAUGUUGAGAGAAUGACACCCUACUAGUUCUGCAGAUCUCAGUCCACCCACUUGGAGAAAGUCACUUUGAAAAAUGCAGCUUAUGCCACUCAGGAGCAAAUGGUUUGGGGAUCGUAGCCUAAAACACCACGUAAAGUAAUACAUUACCAUAACAGUGUACCACAACUGCUUAGCUCUGACAUUGUGCUAGUGAGGAUUGCACAUUCUGCUCCAUGCUAAUCUUAUCAGGAAGCAAUGUAAAGCAGUUCUGUCUAGAGGCAGAUUCCACCCAAGUGCCAUUUUCUUGACCGCAUACUUCAUCUUUUCGUGUCAUUAAAAAUGAAUAUGGUGUGUGUGUUUUCUUGACCUUUUCCUUCAGUUUCAAAGAUGUCUCAAGGCAAGCACAGAUUCUGCUGUCCUACUUGCAAAUGCAUUAUAAGAGCUUAUAUCUGCAAUCUAAACAUGCAGGCUUGUGAUAACAGCUAUUUUACAAAUAAGUUCCAAAAACUUACUGGCCUACAUGAUUUUUUGCUAGCAUGCCUGCCUAUCUCCACAUCUAAAAUGUAAGUCAUAUUAGUUAUCUCAGCAGCCCCAAAGUGUGAAGUACCAACCCUCUACCAAUUUCCCCCCAAAAACACACCUUGCCUGGUUAACUAGAAGACAUGCUUAGGGACUUCCGGGUUGGGGCCUCUCGCAAUGGCAGAUUUCCUCCGAUCGGGAGGAAUCCGCUCCGUGGAAAACAGGGUCUGAACCGCCACGGCCCAUCAAAAACCACAGGCGGGAGAAGCCUGUGGAUGUGGGAUUCGGCCGGCACCUUUGCGCCCCCCCUACUCGCGGGGAAACCCAAUUUCGGGGUUCCGGAGCGACAUGGGGUGAGUGGCGCGGUGCCUUGAAUCGACUGCUUCUUGCACGGAGUGAAGCCGCAUUGCUGUUGCCGGAGAGCGCUGACUUUUUCCUGUGGACAAUUGGAGCUUAAAUAACUGUCUGUGAGUAGAACGGAAAUUUGGAAUAAGAAAUUUCUUUUAAUUUGGCACUGAAGCGGGAAGGUCUAAACAGGAAGUCUGCCUUCCUCUUUUUGUAAAUAGAUUGAAGCAAAGACACGGCAAGCUAGAGCUUAGAAAAUCAUCUGUAAAGGAUCAAUUUUCAUCAUUUAAAAUUACUGAACCCCCCUUGGAAGCAGGAGAAGAGGGGGGAACUUUUUCUGGACUGAUUAAACUUGCAGAAGAUAAGUAAAGAAAAGCAAUUCUCCACCGUCCUGAACCUGGGAGCGGGGUGUCAGGACAGACGUUUUCGGGAAGUUCAUUGACUACUAUAGACAAACGUUUUUGACAGAUAGUUAAAAGAAGAGAAACAUAUUGAUUCCAUUGUUCCCCUUCACAUCUAAAAGGAACAAAAUAUUGACAAAAUAUCUGAAAAAGGAAACUUUGUUGUUAGAUUCGC